AUUGAACGCUGGCGGCAGGCUUAACACAUGCAAGUCGAGCGGUAACAGAGAGAAGCUUGCUUCUCUGCUGACGAGCGGCGGACAGGUGAGUAAUGCCUAGGAAUCUGCCUAGUAGUGGGGGAUAACUUGCCGAAAGGUAAGCUAAUACCGCAUACGUCCUACGGGAGAAAGGAGGGGACCUUCGGGCCUUUCGCUAUUAGAUGAGCCUAGGUCGGAUUAGUUAGUUGGUGAGGUAAUGGCUCACCAAGACCGCGAUCCGUAACUGGUCUGAGAGGAUGAUCAGUCACACUGGAACUGAGACACGGUCCAGACUCCUACGGGAGGCAGCAGUGGGGAAUAUUGGACAAUGGGGGGAACCCUGAUCCAGCCAUGCCGCGUGUGUGAAGAAGGUCUUAGGAUUGUAAAGCACUUUAAGUUGGGAGGAAGAGCAGUUAACUAAUAUUUGACUGUUUUGACGUUACCGACAGAAUAAGCACCGGCUAACUUCGUG
RNAcentral lists this ribosomal RNA (490 nucleotides) under uncultured bacterium. RNAcentral describes it as "partial 16S ribosomal RNA". It matches the Rfam family "Bacterial small subunit ribosomal RNA", at positions 30 to 507 of the family's 1533-position model. The record is from RNAcentral.